GUGGGGAAUCUUGCGCAAUGGGCGAAAGCCUGACGCAGCCAUGCCGCGUGAAUGAUGAAGGUCUUAGGAUUGUAAAAUUCUUUCACCGGGGACGAUAAUGACGGUACCCGGAGAAGAAGCCCCGGCUAACUUCGUGCCAGCAGCCGCGGUAAUACGAAGGGGGCUAGCGUUGCUCGGAAUUACUGGGCGUAAAGGGCGCGUAGGCGGACAGUUUAGUCAGAGGUGAAAGCCCAGGGCUCAACCUUGGAAUUGCCUUUGAUACUGGCUGUCUUGAGUACGUGAGAGGUGAGUGGAACUCCGAGUGUAGAGGUGAAAUUCGUAGAUAUUCGGAAGAACACCAGUGGCGAAGGCGACUCACUGGCCCGUUACUGACGCUGAGGCGCGAAAGCGUGGGGAGCAAACAGGAUUAGAUACCCGAGUAGUCC
This 425-nucleotide ribosomal RNA is filed under the name uncultured bacterium. Its description in RNAcentral is "partial 16S ribosomal RNA". It matches the Rfam family "Bacterial small subunit ribosomal RNA", at positions 354 to 796 of the family's 1533-position model. The record is from RNAcentral.